This 635-nucleotide ribosomal RNA is filed under the name Dehalococcoidia bacterium. RNAcentral describes it as "partial 23S ribosomal RNA". It matches the Rfam family "Bacterial large subunit ribosomal RNA", at positions 1 to 602 of the family's 2925-position model. Lineage: Bacteria; Bacillati; Chloroflexota; Dehalococcoidia. The record is from RNAcentral.
GGUCAAAGAGAAAAGGGCACAGGGUGGAUGCCUUGGCGUUAGCAGCCGAAGACGGGCGUGGCAAGACUGCGAAAAGCCUCGGCGAGCUGUCUAGCAAGCCUAGCCGGGGAUACCCUAAUGGGAAAACUCGCCUGGGUAAAACCCAGGCUCUUGCUAAAAGCGAGAGGGAACCGGGGAAACUGAAACAUCUUAGUACCCUGAGGAAAAGAAAUCGAAUGAGAUUCCCGGAGUAGUGGCGAACGAAAGGGGAAGAGCCUAAACUCGAAUGACUUAGUGGGCUUGGGUCUUAUGUCAUUCGAGGGUUGUAAGACACGAGGGACAGAGCUCAAGAGCUGUCACAGAGUUACAAAACUUCCGCCUAGUCAAAGGUUUCUGGAAAGGACAACCAUAGAGGGUGAUAGUCCCGUAGACGAAAGGAGAAAGUCUCUGCUUGUGUUCUUAAGUACCACGGGGCACGAGGAAUCCCGUGGGAAUCCGGGGUGACCACACUCCAAGGCUAAAUACUGCUAACGACCGAUAGUGAACCAGUACCGUGAGGGAAAGGUGAAAAGCACCCCAAGAGGGGAGUGAAAUAGAACCUGAAACCUUGUGCCUACAAGCAGUCAGAGGCUUGGUUUUUACCAGGCUGAUGGCGU